This 309-nucleotide unclassified non-coding RNA is filed under the name plant metagenome. RNAcentral describes it as "partial contains 5.8S ribosomal RNA, internal transcribed spacer 2, and large subunit ribosomal RNA". The stretch from base 1 to 105 matches the Rfam family "5.8S ribosomal RNA", at positions 50 to 154 of the family's 154-position model. The record is from RNAcentral.
GAAAUGCGAUAAGUAGUGUGAAUUGCAGAAUUCUGUGAAUCAUCGAAUCUUUGAACGCACAUUGCGCCCCUUGGUAUUCCAUGGGGCAUGCCUGUUCGAGCGUCAUUUGUACCCUCAAGCUCUGCUUGGUGUUGGGUGUUUGUCCCGUCUCCGCGCGUGGACUCGCCCCAAAGUGAUUGGCAGCCGGCGUACUGGUCCCGGAGCGCAGCACAUGUCGCGCAAACGAGUGCCUUGGUACGGCGGCGUCCAUAAGCCCCUCUCUCACGCUCUUGACCUCGGAUCAGGUAGGGAUACCCGCUGAACUUAAGC